Molecule: ribosomal RNA, 253 nt
Filed under: uncultured bacterium
Lineage: Bacteria
Description: partial 16S ribosomal RNA
Rfam family: Bacterial small subunit ribosomal RNA
Source: RNAcentral
UACGUAGGGACCAAGCGUUGUUCGGAUUUACUGGGCGUAAAGGGCGCGUAGGCGGCUUGUCAAGUCACUUGUGAAAUCUCUGGGCUUAACCCAGAACGGCCAAGUGAAACUGACAUGCUAGAGUGCAGAAGGGGCAAUCGGAAUUCUUGGUGUAGCGGUGAAAUGCGUAGAUAUCAAGAGGAACACCUGAGGUGAAGACGGGUUGCUGGGCUGACACUGACGCUGAUGCGCGAAAGCCAGGGGAGCGAACGGG